GCCAGGUGUGGUGGCGGGCCCCUGUAAUCCCAGCUACUCGGGAGGCUGAGGCAGGAGAAUUGCUUGAGCCCAGGAGGCAGAGAUUGCAGUGAGCCGAGAUCGUGCCACUGCACUCCAGCCUGGGCAACAGAGUGAGACUCUGUCUCAA
This 148-nucleotide non-coding RNA is filed under the name Nomascus leucogenys (northern white-cheeked gibbon). The record is from Rfam by way of RNAcentral. Lineage: Eukaryota; Metazoa; Chordata; Mammalia; Primates; Hylobatidae.